RNAcentral lists this small nucleolar RNA (151 nucleotides) under Castor canadensis (American beaver). RNAcentral's name for it is "Small nucleolar RNA SNORA51 (ENSCCNG00000023060.1)". The stretch from base 37 to 151 matches the Rfam family "Small nucleolar RNA SNORA51". From Rfam's summary of the family: ACA51 is a member of the H/ACA class of snoRNA that guide the sites of modification of uridines to pseudouridines. The record is from RNAcentral. Lineage: Eukaryota; Metazoa; Chordata; Mammalia; Rodentia; Castoridae.
GAGUGCCUGCCUAUCAACAGGAGGUCCUGAGUUCAAAACCCUACACCAACCUCUCUUAAACUGACUGUAUAGAAAAAGGUAAAGUAAACCUAUCCCAUAUACACCUCAGCCCAGUCCUGUGCUUAGUCUAUAUUUUGAAUGGGAGACCUGU